GUAAAUAAAGUCUUAUUAGAGAUGACAAAUUGGAUAUGAACAUUUCAUAUUUUAAUGAAUAAAUAAAGACAAAUAUCAUACAAGUACAAGGCACUGAUAUACGCAUUUGAAAGUUCAAGGUUAAUUUAGUUUCCAAGAUUGAGGAUGUAAGAUGCUGCAUCACCUUACUGAAUAUAGUCAUUUGUACCAUUGUGUAGGGUUUCCUUUAAAGUGGUGAAUCUUUCUUCUAUUUAUCUAUACUUCUUUGAUUUUCCUCUCAUCUUGCCACCUGCUGCACACUGUACUUUCUUUGCCUCGUAAGCUGCUUGCUCUUUCUUGAACACAUUGACAAUUUAAAAUAUGUUUGGAUGUGCUGUUUUGGCUCUCUUUUUGAGCUUGUUAUGCCAGCCCUCUAAAUGCUUAUUUGUCCUGGGUCCUUCUGUCUGGUGGUGGUUCCAGGUUGGUUGUGGGUAUCUGCCCUCUCUUCAUAUCACAAUUAUACUUUAACUUGGUGCAGGCAUUAGUCUGUGGUGCGUUUUCCAAGGUGUGUAUUUUUGGUUAAGUAUUUGGUAAAUGUGAUUG
This 561-nucleotide long non-coding RNA is filed under the name Mytilus galloprovincialis (Mediterranean mussel). Lineage: Eukaryota; Metazoa; Mollusca; Bivalvia; Mytilida; Mytilidae. The record is from RNAcentral.